This 424-nucleotide ribosomal RNA is filed under the name uncultured Glomeromycotina. RNAcentral's name for it is "SSU rRNA". It matches the Rfam family "Eukaryotic small subunit ribosomal RNA", at positions 670 to 1092 of the family's 1831-position model. Lineage: Eukaryota; Fungi; Glomeromycota. The record is from RNAcentral.
CUGGUAUGUACUGGCUUCGCUGAUUCCUCCUUUCUGAAGAACUGUAAUGUCAUUAAUUUGGUGUUGCAGGGAAACAGGACUGUUACUUUGAAAAAAUUAGAGUGUUUAAAGCAGGCUAACGCUUGAAUACAUUAGCAUGGAAUAAUGAAAUAGGACGUUCGAUCCUAUUUUGUUGGUUUCUGGGAUUGACGUAAUGAUUAAUAGGGAUAGUUGGGGGCAUUAGUAUUCAAUUGUCAGAGGUGAAAUUCUUGGAUUUAUUGAAGACUAACUACUGCGAAAGCAUUUGCCAAGGAUGUUUUCAUUAAUCAAGAACGAAAGUUAGGGGAUCGAAGACGAUCAGAUACCGUCGUAGUCUUAACCAUAAACUAUGCCGACUAGGGAUCGGAUGAUGUUAAUUUUUUAAUGACUCAUCCGGCGCCUUACG